This 923-nucleotide ribosomal RNA is filed under the name Scolecobasidium constrictum. Its description in RNAcentral is "partial large subunit ribosomal RNA". It matches the Rfam family "Eukaryotic large subunit ribosomal RNA", at positions 38 to 963 of the family's 3401-position model. The record is from RNAcentral. Lineage: Eukaryota; Fungi; Ascomycota; Dothideomycetes; Venturiales; Sympoventuriaceae.
ACAUAUCAAUAAGCGGAGGAAAAGAAACCAACCGGGAUUGCCCCAGUAACGGCGAGUGAAGCGGCAACAGCUCAAAUUUGAAAUCUGGAGUCUUUGUUGGCUUCCGAGUUGUAAUUUGCAGAGGGAGCCUCGGAGGGCUGGUCGGUCCAAGUGCCUUGGAACAGGAUACCGCAGAGGGUGAGAGUCCCGUAUCCGGCCGACGCAGUGCUCCGUGUGAGGCCUCUUCGACGAGUCGAGUUGUUUGGGAAUGCAGCUCUAAGUGGGUGGUAAAUUCCAUCUAAAGCUAAAUACUGGCCAGAGACCGAUAGCGAACAAGUAGAGUGAUCGAAAGAUGAAAAGCACUUUGAAAAGAGAGUUAAACAGUACGUGAAAUUGUUGAAAGGGAAGCGCAUGGGGGCAGACUUGGACGCGGGGUUCAGGGUCUCUUUUUUGGAGGCGUGUACUUCCCCGCGGACAGGCCAGCAUCGGUUCUGGGGGCCGGACAAAGGCGACGGGAACGUGGCUCUCUUCGGGGAGUGUUAUAGCCCGACGUGCAAUGCGGCCACCUGGGACCGAGGACCGCGCUUCGGCAAGGAUGCUGGCGUAAUGGCCUCAUGCGGCCCGUCUUGAAACACGGACCAAGGAGUCUAACAUCUAUGCGAGUGUUUGGGUGGCAAGCCCGGACGCGCAAUGAAAGUGAACGGAGGUGGGAGCCCUUUCCCGCGUGGAGGGGGUGCAGCAUCGACCGAUCCGGACGUUUUCUGAAGGAUUUGAGUAAGAGCAUAGCUGUUGGGACCCGAAAGAUGGUGAACUAUGCGUGAAUAGGGUGAAGCCAGAGGAAACUCUGGUGGAGGCUCGCAGCGGUUCUGACGUGCAAAUCGAUCGUCAAAUUUGCGUAUAGGGGCGAAAGACUAAUCGAACCAUCUAGUAGCUGGUUCCUGCGA